Molecule: ribosomal RNA, 511 nt
Filed under: uncultured bacterium
Lineage: Bacteria
Description: bacterial SSU rRNA
Rfam family: Bacterial small subunit ribosomal RNA
Source: RNAcentral
GACGAACGCUGGCGGUGUGCUUAACACAUGCAAGUGGUGCGACGAACCAGAGCUUGCUCUGGGGCAAAGCCGCGAACGGGUGAGUAACACGUGGGUAAUCUACCCCGAUGACCGGGACAACCCGAGGAAACUCGGGCUAAUACCGGAUGUGGUACGGAGACAUAAGUCUCUUUACUAAAGGUAGCUUCGGCUUCCGCAUUGGGAGGGGCCCGCGGCCCAUUAGCUAGUUGGUGGGGUCAAGGCCUACCAAGGCAACGAUGGGUAGCUGGUCUGAGAGGACGAUCAGCCACACUGGGACUGAGACACGGCCCAGACUCCUACGGGAGGCAGCAGUGGGGAAUCUUGCGCAAUGCGCGAAAGCGUGACGCAGCAACACCGCGUGAGGGAAGACGGCCUUAGGGUUGUAAACCUCUUUCAGAUGGGACGAAGGUGAUGCGGUGAAUAGCCGAUGUCAUUGACGGUACCGUCAGAAGAAGACUCCGGCUAACUACGUGCCAGCAGCCGCGGUAAU